UACGUAGGGGGCAAGCGUUGUCCGGAGUUACUGGGCGUAAAGCGCACGCAGGCGGUUGUGCACGUUUGGGGUGACAGCUUCCGGCUUAACUGGAAGAGGACCUCGAAGACGGCGCGACUUGAGGGGUUCAGAGGGAUCGAGAAUUCCGGGGUGGAGUGGUGAAAUGCGUAGAUAUCCGGAGGAAUACCCAAGGCGAAGGCAUGGUCCUGGGAACCACCUGACGCUCAGGUGCGAAAGCGAGGGGAGCGAACGGG
This 254-nucleotide ribosomal RNA is filed under the name uncultured bacterium. RNAcentral describes it as "partial 16S ribosomal RNA". It matches the Rfam family "Bacterial small subunit ribosomal RNA", at positions 524 to 776 of the family's 1533-position model. The record is from RNAcentral.